AAAAGAAUAAAGUAAAAAUGAACUAACUAAAACAAUGGUAAAAUAAAAAAUAAAAUCAACUAACUAAAUAAAUAAAUGCAGAAUAUUACGUAAUGAAAAAAAAUGAUAAGAAUAACAGUAAAAAUGAGAACUACCAAAAGAAAAUAAACUAAAAACAAAUAAAAAAAUAAUUAAAGACAAAUAAAGAAAGAAAGAAAGAAAGAAAGAAAAAAAGGGAAGGGGUGGUGAGGUGAGGUGAGGGAGCUAUUUCAGGUUGCAGUGGAGUAGGUGCGAGGGUCGUAAGGAGAGGCUACUGUGGCUGGUUGUAGGGUGUUGGAGAGGUGAGGGAGGAGAGAAAUAAGGGGGAAAGGGGAAAGAAAAGGGAGAGGAGAGAGGGACAACUUGGGUGAGGGAGAGGUGAAGGGACGACGAUGGCGGUGGGGUUGGUUGGUGGCUGGAUGGUGUGAAGGGGAAAGGGGAACAGCGGCGGUUAGGGUUGGUAGGGAAGUUGGGGAAAAACAUAGUGAAAAAAAUAAAAAAUAAAAAAAGUAAGGUUUUAAAUGGGGGACACGAUCGUGUAAGGCCCGUGUUGCGCUACACGGCCAUGUCACAUGCUCGUGUAAGGCGUUUUAGCCCAUGUGUGAUAAAAAUAUAGGCCCAGUCUUUACACAGGCACAGGCACGCCCGUGUCUCUAG
RNAcentral lists this long non-coding RNA (675 nucleotides) under Gossypium raimondii (Peruvian cotton). RNAcentral's name for it is "long non-coding RNA (GRAI_LNC009581)". Lineage: Eukaryota; Viridiplantae; Streptophyta; Magnoliopsida; Malvales; Malvaceae. The record is from RNAcentral.